AGUGAACGCUGGCGGUAGGCCUAACACAUGCAAGUCGAACGGCAGCACAGUAAGAGCUUGCUCUUACGGGUGGCGAGUGGCGGACGGGUGAGGAAUACAUCGGAAUCUACUUUUUCGUGGGGGAUAACGUAGGGAAACUUACGCUAAUACCGCAUAUGACCUACGGGUGAAAGCAGGGGAUCUUCGGACCUUGCGCGAUUGAAUGAGCCGAUGUCGGAUUAGCUAGUUGGCGGGGUAAAGGCCCACCAAGGCAACGAUCCGUAGCUGGUCUGAGAGGAUGAUCAGCCACACUGGAACUGAGACACGGUCCAGACUCCUACGGGAGGCAGCAGUGGGGAAUAUUGGACAAUGGGCGCAAGCCUGAUCCAGCCAUACCGCGUGGGUGAAGAAGGCCUUCGGGUUGUAAAGCCCUUUUGUUGGGAAAGAAAAGCAGCAUGUUAAUACCCCGCUGUUCUGACGGUACCCAAAGAAUAAGCACCGGCUAACUUCGUG
Molecule: ribosomal RNA, 492 nt
Filed under: uncultured bacterium
Lineage: Bacteria
Description: partial 16S ribosomal RNA
Rfam family: Bacterial small subunit ribosomal RNA
Source: RNAcentral